UGGGGGAUAUUGCACAAUGGGCGAAAGCCUGAUGCAGCGACGCCGCGUGGGGGAUGAAGGCUUUCGGGUUGUAAACCUCUUUCGCUAUCGAACAAGGCCCGCUUAGGGUGGGUUGAGGGUAGGUGGAGAAGAAGCGCCGGCUAACUACGUGCCAGCAGCCUCGGUAAUACGUAGGGCGCGAGCGUUGUCCGGAAUUAUUGGGCGUAAAGGGCUUGUAGGCGGCUUGUUGCGCCUGCUGUGAAAACGCGGGGCUUAACUUCGCGCGUGCAGUGGAUACGGGCAGGCUUGAGUGUGGUAGGGGUGACUUGAAUUCCAGGUGUAGCGGUGGAAUGCGCAGAUAUCUGGAGGAACACCGAUGGCGAAGGCAGGUCACUGGGCCAUGACAGACGCUGAGGAGCGAAAGCAUGGGUAGCGAACAGG
This 420-nucleotide ribosomal RNA is filed under the name bacterium. Its description in RNAcentral is "partial 16S ribosomal RNA". It matches the Rfam family "Bacterial small subunit ribosomal RNA", at positions 355 to 776 of the family's 1533-position model. The record is from RNAcentral.